UACAGAGGUCUCAAGCGUUGUUCGGAAUCACUGGGCGUAAAGCGCACGUAGGCGGAUUGUUAAGUCAGGGGUGAAAUCCUGGAGCUCAACUCCAGAACUGCCUUUGAUACUGGCGAUCUUGAGUCCGGGAGAGGUGAGUGGAACUGCGAGUGUAGAGGUGAAAUUCGUAGAUAUUCGCAAGAACACCAGUGGCGAAGGCGGCUCACUGGCCCGGUACUGACGCUGAGGUGCGAAAGCGUGGGGAGCAAACAGG
This 253-nucleotide ribosomal RNA is filed under the name uncultured bacterium. Its description in RNAcentral is "partial 16S ribosomal RNA". It matches the Rfam family "Bacterial small subunit ribosomal RNA", at positions 524 to 776 of the family's 1533-position model. The record is from RNAcentral.